CACAGAGUUAGCCGAUGCUUAUUCCUCAGAUACCGUCAUUGUUUCUUCUCCGAGAAAAGAAGUUGACGACCCGUAGGCCUUCCACCUCCACGCGGCAUUGCUCCGUCAGGCUUUCGCCCAUUGCGGAAAAUUCCCCACUGCUGCCUCCCGUAGGAGUCUGGGCCGUAUCUCAGUCCCAAUGUGGCCGGUCACCCUCUCAGGCCGGCUACCCGUCAAAGCCUUGGUAAGCCACUACCCCACCAACAAGCUGAUAAGCCGCGAGUCCAUCCCCAACCGCCGAAACUUUCCAACCCCCACCAUGCAGCAGGAGCUCCUAUCCGGUAUUAGCCCCAGUUUCCUGAAGUUAUCCCAAAGUCAAGGGCAGGUUACUCACGUGUUACUCACCCGUUCGCCACUCGAGCACCCCACAAAAGCAGGGCCUUUCCGUUCGACUUGCAUGUGUUAAGCACGCCGCCAGCGUCUCCUGAGCCAGGAGCAAACGUACU
RNAcentral lists this ribosomal RNA (485 nucleotides) under uncultured Propionibacterium sp. RNAcentral's name for it is "partial 16S ribosomal RNA". Lineage: Bacteria; Bacillati; Actinomycetota; Actinomycetes; Propionibacteriales; Propionibacteriaceae. The record is from RNAcentral.